This 677-nucleotide ribosomal RNA is filed under the name uncultured Spiroplasma sp. RNAcentral's name for it is "bacterial SSU rRNA". It matches the Rfam family "Bacterial small subunit ribosomal RNA", at positions 9 to 685 of the family's 1533-position model. Lineage: Bacteria; Bacillati; Mycoplasmatota; Mollicutes; Entomoplasmatales; Spiroplasmataceae. The record is from RNAcentral.
GAGUUUGAUCCUGGCUCAGGAUUAACGCUGGCGGCAUGCCUAAUACAUGCAAGUCGAACGGAGUAGCAAUACUUAGUGGCGAACGGGUGAGUAACACGUAUCUAAUCUACCAUUUAGUGGGGAAUAACUGUUGGAAACGACAGCUAAUACCGCAUAAUAUUGCUGGAUAAUUUCCAGUAAUGAAAGGAGCUUUCAAGCUCCGCUGAUUGAUGAGGAUGCGGCGCAUUAGCUAGUUGGUAGGGUAAUGGCCUACCAAGGCAAUGAUGCGUAGCCGAUCUGAGAGGAUGAACGGCCACAUUGGGACUGAGACACGGCCCAAACUUCUACGGAAGGCAGCAGUAGGGAAUUUUUCACAAUGGGCGAAAGCCUGAUGGAGCAAUGCCGCGUGACUGAUGAAGGUCUUCGGAUUGUAAAGGUCUGUUGUAAGGGAAGAAAUGGUAAAACAGGAAAUGGUUUUAUCUAUGACGGUACCUUACCAGAAAGCCACGGCUAACUAUGUGCCAGCAGCCGCGGUAAUACAUAGGUGGCAAGCGUUAUCCGGAUUUAUUGGGCGUAAAGGGUGCGUAGACGGUUUUGCAAGUCUGAGGUUAAAUUUAGGAGCUCAACUCCUAAUCGCCUUGGAAACUACAAGACUAGAGUAUAGGAGAGGUUAGUGGAAUUCCAUGUGUAGCGGUGGA